GUGGGGAAUAUUGGACAAUGGGCGAAAGCCUGAUCCAGCCAUGCCGCGUGUGUGAAGAAGGUCUUCGGAUUGUAAAGCACUUUAAGUUGGGAGGAAGGGCAGUAAGUUAAUACCUUGCUGUUUUGACGUUACCGACAGAAUAAGCACCGGCUAACUUCGUGCCAGCAGCCGCGGUAAUACGAAGGGUGCAAGCGUUGAUCGGAAUUACUGGGCGUAAAGCGCGCGUAGGUGGUUUUGUAAGUUGGAGGUGAAAUCCCCGGGCUCAACCUGGGAACUGCCUCCAAAACUGCAUGACUAGAGUACGGUAGAGGGUAGUGGAAUUUCCUGUGUAGCGGUGAAAUGCGUAGAUAUAGGAAGGAACACCAGUGGCGAAGGCGACUACCUGGACUGAUACUGACACUGAGGUGCGAAAGCGUGGGGAGCAAACAGGAUUAGAAACCCUGGUAGUCC
RNAcentral lists this ribosomal RNA (450 nucleotides) under uncultured bacterium. RNAcentral's name for it is "bacterial SSU rRNA". It matches the Rfam family "Bacterial small subunit ribosomal RNA", at positions 354 to 796 of the family's 1533-position model. The record is from RNAcentral.